UACGUAGGGGGCAAGCGUUAAUCGGAAUUACUGGGCGUAAAGCGUGCGCAGGCGGUGAUGUAAGUCAGAUGUGAAAUCCCCGGGCUCAACCUGGGAACUGCAUUUGUGACUGCAUCGCUGGAGUACGGCAGAGGGGGAUGGAAUUCCGCGUGUAGCAGUGAAAUUCGUAGAUAUUGGGAAGAACACCGAUGGCGAAGGCAGCCAUCUGGACCGACACUGACGCUGAGGCGCGAAAGCGUGGGGAGCAAACAGG
RNAcentral lists this ribosomal RNA (253 nucleotides) under uncultured bacterium. RNAcentral's name for it is "partial 16S ribosomal RNA". It matches the Rfam family "Bacterial small subunit ribosomal RNA", at positions 524 to 776 of the family's 1533-position model. The record is from RNAcentral.